RNAcentral lists this transfer RNA (72 nucleotides) under Camelus dromedarius (Arabian camel). It matches the Rfam family "tRNA". From Rfam's summary of the family: Transfer RNA (tRNA) molecules are approximately 80 nucleotides in length. RNAcentral also lists the same sequence under 2 other names. The record is from Rfam by way of RNAcentral. Lineage: Eukaryota; Metazoa; Chordata; Mammalia; Artiodactyla; Camelidae.
GAAGGUAUAGCUCAGUGGUAGAGUGCAUGCUCAGCAUGCAUGAGGUCCUGGGUUCAAUCCCCAGUACCUCCA